Vulpes vulpes (red fox) is the source of this 1600-nucleotide long non-coding RNA. NCBI's taxonomy places the organism in Eukaryota, Metazoa, Chordata, Mammalia, Carnivora, Canidae. The record is from Ensembl.
GUCAGAGCAGGCCUCUCACCUGGGCAUCUGACUUGUAUCUUGGCUACUGGUCCUUGGGGUGGAAACUGCCAACCUGUGUGGCUGACUAUGCCCCUUGGAGGGCUGACACCAGGCCUGGCUUUCCCCCAUCUGCUGAGCCCCCUACAUCUGCUGAUCCUGGCAGCCCCAGCUCCAUGAGGGGAGGCCACCUGCCUCCAGGGCCCAUUGUGAGUGGAGCUUUGCUUCUUCUUGCUCAUCUGUUAAUGUGGGAAGCCGUCUGCUGGCUUCUCCUGAUGCCAGUAAGGACAGAGCCUGUGUGCCGAGGACCCACACAGUGCAUAAAGCAGUGCUCAACAUAUCCUUCUGCCAGGGGCUGUGAUCAAGGGAGUGAUUGGGAGGUUCAGCUGGCUGAAGAACUGGGUGGCAAUCCAGCUGAAGGAGUGAAGGGGCCUCCAAGAACAGCUCAGCUGCAGGAUACAGGGUGUUUAGACCUAGGAGGUCUUCUUGGGGGAGGUUUACACCUGCUUCUGCUUACACCAACGAGUCUGUGGGCUGGACAGAUCACAGAGGCCUCACUCACAGGCCUGAGAGAUGGUGCCGGACAUGCCCCAAGGCCUCCAUGAGCUAGACCAGCCUCCUUCCCUGGUGUUCUCAGGGUGAUGCUCCAAGAGGGUGAAGUGGUGGCUGCACCAGACUCCAGAUUCAAACAUCACUUCAGCCACGUCCUGUUGGCUAAACCAAGUCAGAAGCCCAUGUGUGCUUGAGGGUGGGACCCACUCCACCUCUUCAUGGAGGGAGCCCAAAAAUCCUUUGCAGUCACAUUUGAUGGAUGAUGGGCAUCCCAGCAUUGGGGCAGUGUCUGUGGAGCGCUCACAUGUGCUUACUGAACACCUGGCUGUGGAGGGCUUCAGGAAGAACAGAGGCGAGAGGCAGGCAUCUUCAUGGGUGCAGACAGAUGAAAGAGCAGGACACAUGGAUGGGAAGUGCAGGGGCUCUGUGCAGUUGCAACAAGAGGAUGGGGGUGGGCUUGAGGAGCGAGAAGACUCUGGAUCUGAUUCUGAGGGUGACAGGGAUGGGGAAAGGCUCCAGAAGGGCAGAGAAGGGGAAGAGGACUGUUAGGAGCCAGCCAGGUGAGUGAUGGGGGAACCUGACCCUGCAGGGAGUUAGGGAGAUGGUGAGGAUGAGGAGAAAGCUAUGCAGGAGGUGGUGGGACUGGGCAUCCGUCUGCAUGGCCCAGCGAGGCACUCGGGGCACCCUCAGCUCUGGCCUCCCAUUCACUUUCUAUCUGUAGUGCCCCUUCCAGGAGCCCUUUCCUAGUUCCCAAGGGAUCUUCAGCGGGACUAUGGCCCCACAGCCACCCUGGCUCUGUCUCUUCAUCCCUACCCAGGCCAAGCCUCCAGCCCGGAGAGGAGAGAGAAGAGGAGAGAUCCUCAGAUCAAGAAGCCACUAGGGAGAGCUUUUAAAAAUGCAAUUAAAUAGAAAAUAAUUAAAUCCAAUUAAAAAUGAACCAUGGGGGAGUUCUGGGGGCCUCCAUGUGAAAGCUCAGGCUGUCUCCAUCCUGUGUUGGCAGCCUUCCCAGUGUUCAUGAGUCGGAUGUUUAAGGUGGAAUGAGAAAGGCCAG